GCGUCGGUGGUGCAACGGUUAGCAUACGUUCCUAAAAAGAGUGAGAUCUGUGUUCGAAUUCCGGCUGAGGCU
This is a non-coding RNA of Parelaphostrongylus tenuis, 72 nucleotides long. Lineage: Eukaryota; Metazoa; Nematoda; Chromadorea; Rhabditida; Metastrongylidae. The record is from the annotation of a GenBank genome assembly.